This 411-nucleotide ribosomal RNA is filed under the name uncultured eukaryote. Its description in RNAcentral is "eukaryotic LSU rRNA". It matches the Rfam family "Eukaryotic large subunit ribosomal RNA", at positions 972 to 1373 of the family's 3401-position model. The record is from RNAcentral.
CUCAGGAUAGCUGGAACUUUAACGAAUAGUUUUAUCAGGUAAAGCGAAUGAUUAGAAGCUCUGGGGAUGAAACAUCCUCGACUUAUUCUCAAACUUUAAAUAGGUAAGAUGACUGUAGUACUUAAUUUGACUAUUAGUCUCUUGAAUAGUAAGUUCUUAGUGGGCCAUUUUUGGUAAGCAGAACUGGCGAUGUGGGAUGAACCAAACGUAAAGUUAAAGUGCCUAAAAGUACGUUCAUCAGAUACCACAAAAGGUGUUGAUUCAUCUUGACAGUUGGACAGUGGCCAUGGAAGUCGGAAUCUGCUAAGGAGUGUGUAACAACUCACCAACCGAAUGAAUUAGCCCUGAAAAUGGAUGGCGCUUAAACGUAUUACUUAUACUUUACGUUACGAAUAAAUAGCUAAAAUUACU